Molecule: ribosomal RNA, 380 nt
Filed under: Proasellus walteri
Lineage: Eukaryota; Metazoa; Arthropoda; Malacostraca; Isopoda; Asellidae
Description: partial 16S ribosomal RNA
Rfam family: Bacterial large subunit ribosomal RNA
Source: RNAcentral
AUUAGGAGCUGGAAUGAAAGAGGCGACGAAAUCUAGACUAUUUAAGUUUUAAUAUAAAUUGACAAGCGGGUCAAAAGGCCCGCAUGGGCCAGGGGGACGAUAAGACCCUAUAAAACUUUACUUUCGGGCCGGUACCCGGCGGGAUGUGAGGGGUCUGAGAGUUUAACUGGGGCGGUUAUUAUAGAAACAAUUAUACAUGAAAUAUAUUAUAUAGAUUGGUAGAACUCUCUAGAGAAAUAGAACAAGUUACUUUAGGGAUAACAGCGUGAUCCCCCCAGAGAGUCCUGAUUGGCGGGGGGGCUUACGACCUCGAUGUUGAAUUGGGGUUUCCUAUAUAAGCAAAUAUAUAUAUAGAUAGUCUGUUCGACUAUUAAACUCCC